GGAGAUACAGUUCAGUGGUACAGUGCUUGCCUAGCAUGCAUGAGACCUUGGGUUCAAUUCCCAGUACCACCA
This 72-nucleotide transfer RNA is filed under the name Ictidomys tridecemlineatus (thirteen-lined ground squirrel). Its description in RNAcentral is "Spermophilus tridecemlineatus (thirteen-lined ground squirrel) tRNA". It matches the Rfam family "tRNA". From Rfam's summary of the family: Transfer RNA (tRNA) molecules are approximately 80 nucleotides in length. Lineage: Eukaryota; Metazoa; Chordata; Mammalia; Rodentia; Sciuridae. The record is from Rfam by way of RNAcentral.